GGGGUCACCUGGGACGCUGGCGAGGAACCCUUGGCAGGUGCGCGCCCUGUCGUGAGUCUGGUGGUUAACGUUUGCCGUUGGGUAGCAGGGAGCCACCGGGAGAGCAGAAUAAAGCAGGGGUGUUGUAAUCAACACCGUGGGAAGAUUGGUCCGGCGGGAGCGUUCAGUGUGGAUGGAAGGCAGAGAGGUCCGUUAGGUGGCUGUCGCUUGUGGGCAGAACAGCCGCAGCGGAGUAGCCCGGGAGCUGAAAGGGCUGGUGGGGUCGCUUCGUGGGUGACGCCCGCCCACGGGUUUGUGUAGUUAUGCUGCCCCCAUUGCGAGGACCUGAGCUUUGACCGAAGUGUGGGUGUGUGUCCACGUCUGUGUAUUUGCUUCGUGAAUUAAAGCACGUGGCAGGUCAGUGGUGUGUGGUCCCAGGGAUACAGCCAAAGUGCUGAAACUCGGUGCUUUCUCAGCACCUGACGUCCUCGGGGAAAUCUGCCUGCCAGACCUAGAGUGGUACCCGCUGGACGGCGGGGGAGUGACGCCCCAGGCCUGUGCGAACACACAGUAUUUACGCGCCACACGGAGAACGCGGCACGUGUGUUCUUCGGUGCUCCUGCUGACUGCUUUCUGGUUUGUAUGGGUACCCAUUCCGUGGCUUUGCUAAAAUUCUUAGAGUGUACCAGGGAUUUGGUUGUCCUAAAGAAAAGACCCUCUGUUUGUCACUUCAGCCCAGCAUUCUUUAAACAGUUAUCUGUUUGUAGCACUUCAGACUGUGUAGUCUUUGUAAAAUCUCGCGUGAAACUCAGUGUGUGCUCGAGUCCAGACUUUACCCCGGAGGAGACCCUGGGGUGUGUGUCCGGAUCUGGGUGGCCUCGGUCGUAGCUGCGCUGUGACCGAUGUCGUCCGCAGGCUUGCCCUCCGCGGGAGGCGAGGGUGAGCUUCCUGGAUUGCUUUGCUCAUAAGUGUUUCCCGAAGACGGUUUAACUGGCAAGUGCCAGCUCGGGCCAUCCUUGGGGACAUGUGGCAGGUUAUAUUGUUGUCCCUUGGUGAUGUCGUAUGCCGUGUACCGUCCAGAGACGGACGUGAGUCUUCUGCCGUCGUGUUGUUCUGGCCACCGUGAGCUUCAGUUUGUGGCAUGGCCGUUAGGGCUGUCAUACGAUGAAUGUAGUGAUACUUGAUCGAGUUCUCGUAGGACAGAGUUUAGGAGCCACGUGGAUGCUGCGUGUCACACAUUCACUCUUGUCGCUGGCAUGGUAGCUCGUCUCGUCACUGAAGAGUCUGCAUUUUACUCUGUCGGUUAUGCUUCGGUUAAAAAAAAGUUGCUCGAUGACUUUUCGGGGGAGGGUGAUGAGAUCCACGGGUUGGAGCUACAGAUUGCCAGCCCUCUGGAGCGUUAGGGUCUGUGUCCUUCCAGGUGACACUCCGUGCAGACAAACUCUUUGAAAUGCUUAUUAUGUCUUAACUUCACUCAGUACAGGUAACUGGGAAAUCUUGGCUUAACCAGUUCUUAAGGUCAGAAAUUAAUUCUGUAGAUAGGAUGCAUCAUCCUUCCUCUUUAGGAAAAGAAAUAGAUUUGAAUUACUAUUGUUAUUUUAACAGGAAAAACUACUCUGGCCGACUGUCUUAUAUCUAGCAAUGGGAUCAUCUCCAGCCGCUUGGCAGGCAAGGUAAGUAGUUGCAUUCGAUGAAGUCUUGUUGCCUUUCAGUAGGGAGCAGCUGUCCGAGGUGUGAUGUAUUCGUAGACAUCCAGAAGAGUGCAAAGCCCAGUUUAUGUGUCUGAGAAGCUGCUCGUCUAUUUAGCAAGAUAAUAUACAUGUUGAGAAAGGUAUUUUAUGUUGCUGUAUAGUAAUAUGUCCUAAAUGCAGAAAUGAGUUUUUGUAACAAGUCCAGUGACGGCUGGCCCAGCUGUAGAAGCUCUCACAGAGCGUGAGGUUCUGUGGAGGACGAGUGUGUGGUUUGGGGAGAUGCCGGCAGGUGGGGGAGCACAGUGGACAAAGGGGAUCGGGGCUGAUUUGGGUGCUGUCCUCGAUUCGGGGGGAGCAUUUGCCUGGAGGCCCCGGGAGAGGAAAAGUCCUGGUGGAGAGAAUGCCAGAUUCCGGAAGAACUUGAAGGCAGCUGGAGUCUGAGGGUCAUGAUGAAAAUAGUGUCUUAGGAAGUGAAAUUAAAGAGAUCUUUGUUUCUAGCUGCGAGUGUAAGUUACUCGCAGUAGAAAAAUAGAGCAGUUCCUUCCCCCAAUGAGUUGAGGAUAUGAUCAGUGGAGUUGAUCACAGAGCUGGCAUUUCCGAUCUGUAGGGAAGAGACGAGCCUCUCCACACAUUGUCCUCGGACAGUUGGUUAUCUGCGUGGAAAAUAAAUAAAAUUGGACUUCUCCUUAACACCGCACACAGAAAUUAGCAUGUAAUUGAAACAGUCGUAUGUGAGAAGCAAAAUUAUAAAACUUGGGAAAAGAAUAUAGGAGAGUACUUCUGUGACCUCAAGAGAAGGUUUCGUCAGUGAGACGAAGAAGUACGUCCCGUUAUGUAGGUUUGAUCAACUCAAGUACAUUGCAACUAAGAACAUCUGUUCAUCAGGAAAUACCAUAAAAAGAGUGAGAAGACAAGCCUGGUAAGUGGGAGAAAAUAGUAAUAACACAUAAUUGACAGGGGUCUAAUAUUCAGGGACUGUAAAGAACUUCUAUCCGGAACAGAACAAAUCUGUAAUAUAACCAUUAAAAAGAUGGACAAAAAUCUUGAACAGGAAACUCCCAGAAGAGGAGUGCCACAUGGCCAGUGUGGCAAACUGGGAUACUCAACCCCACUGACAGUCGGAGAGAUGUAAAUUAAAAAAAUAAUCAUUUAUCAUCGUUUAUCAGUAUUUGUUUAUCAUUGAUCAUGGAAAAAGGAGUGAAGGCUCCUGAUGCUUCUAGAGAUCUUUGGUUUCAGUGUUUGCCCAGACUUCGUCAGACAGCCUAGGAGCAGGGAGAGAACGACCGGCCCCCGCGUGCUACAUGCUGGGGAGGGCGUGCGGAACCGGCAUGCGUGCGGAACGUGCUGUCUCUCGGGGCGUCCGCUCUCUUCCCUUGGCAGCUCACCUUCCUCACCCCCUCCCCACGUUAACAAACUACGAAGGGCUUUUAGUUUAAAAAUGAUGUGUUUAAAGCAAAAGUCCAGCUCAGACCGUCUUAAUGUCAACAUUUCACUGGGAAGUAAGGAUGCGUAUGUUGCAUUUUACAGUUAAGGUACAUGGACAGCAGAGAGGACGAACAGGUUCGAGGGAUCACUAUGAAGUCGAGUGCCAUUUCCCUACAUUAUGCCAAAGGUAAAUCAAUCUGUGUUUUUAUUUUUAAAUUUUUUUUUAUAAUGAUUUUAUUUAUUUUUGAGACAGAGAGAGACAGAGCAUGAACGGGGGAGGGUCAGAGAGAGGGAGACACAGAAUCUGAAACAGGCUCCAGGCUCUGAGCUGUCAGCACAGAGCCUGAUGAGGGGCUCGAACUCACGGACCGCGCGAGAUCAUGACCUGAGCCGAAGUCGGCCGCUUAACCGACUGAGCCACCCAGGCGCCCCAAUCAAUCUGUGUUUUAAAGAAAAAUAGUUUGUUUCUUCAGUGUCCUCCUUUCUGUUUCCGGAUUAAGUGUACGCUUCCGUUUCCAUGCUUUGUACUCCGCGAAUUUCCUUCUGGCGUCUGAUGAUCUGAUGCCAGAGUCAGGCUGUCCAGACUCGGACGCAUUUGGGGACCUCUGACCGGCCUGAGGGUGAAGAGCUGGCAGUUCACACCUGCCCACGUCCCCCCAGGUGAUCGUACGGAUUUCUCCACCAGGAGGGUCGCAAGGCCGUAGCCUUCCAUUCCUGGCUGGAUCCUUCUUCUGUCCUGUGGCCUCAGUACUGGCUUUAGAAUCUUACUCACUUGGGUUGCCAUGUUCGUUACAGUUUGCUCUCCCCUAAAUCGGGAUGUCGUUUUGACAGUAACGCUUGCAGAACUGAUGUGACAGGAGUAGUCAUACAAGUAUAUGACAUAUAUGUGAAUACUCACCAAAAAGCCUGUGUUAGUAAAAAUAAUGCCGACAACUUUCGUGUCUGCCUUUGGAAAAUGGCCAAGUAAACUGAUACAUCCGUGCUGUGAAACGCACGCAGAUGUUCAAACCACUGUUUGAUCUGUAUGUUAUCGUGUAGAAAAAAUGUGUUGACAAAAGCAAGUUGCAGAGUAAAUAUGUGUAAGAUGGGAGUGUGUUUUGGGAAUAAAAUACCAAGUGUGCAGAUAAAGAUGUCUGGAAGGCAACGUACCGAAGCCUUAACGCCAGUAUCCGCGUUAUGUGAAACUUAGUUUUCAAAACAUUUACUUUUGUAUCAUUUGGAAAUUUUACACAAAAUGUGUAUUUUUUUAAUUAGAAGAAAAUAAUAAAGUUCUGUUUCAUUUCCCUAAUGGAUCUGUGGUUCGUCUUCCGCAGUGUUCUAUGUCUGACCCUGACUCCCAGGAAUAUUCUGGGAGGUGUGACUGUAUUGCCUUUGACGCCAGUCUUUAAAAUAUUUUUGUGUUAAACCAGCCUUGAAGCUCUUGGGUAUUCUUGGUGAAUUCCACGUGUUUAAUAUUUAAAGUAAUGCCUUCUGUUUUUAAAACUACCUCUCACGUUUUAAAAGGUAUGUCCUCAUUCUGUGAGCCAGCCAAUGGGGCAGCGCUCCGUUUAUUUGCCACCUCCCCUUAUUUUUAUAGACCUCACGAGCUUUGCAGCCUGCCUUUUUCCACACUCAGACCGUUAGUCUCUCUUUGUUGGAUGAUUCCUCUAGGGUCAGCUUCUGGAUUCUGUCUCCAGGUCCUCCACCCCCUUUUGCAAGCAUCACGGUUUACUUUCUAUCGAUACCACUCGCCCAUUCCAGUGCACUGGUCUCUCUGGUUUAGCGCGGGAGGAGACCGGCUCUAGGGCCCUGGAGGUUGAAUGGUCUGCCCUCCGUUUUGUUCAGCUCUGACCUUGGGCGCCUCACUCCCAGACUGUUUUAGAUGCGCUCCCUUGACUACACAGAACCGAGGCUUAAGCCCGCAUGUGCUGCGGAGGGUUGGCUUAUUGAAAGAAUGUGUGUGCUAUGACAUUGGAGAAAUGUUCCUGAAAACUGAAAACCAGGAGUGUUCAUUGGAGUGACAGCUCAUAGAAAUUGAAGGCAGAUGUUGAUUCUGGAUCCCAGACGGCCCCAGGUACCGUUGGGACAAGUUAAGGAUCUUUCCUCUGCAGCCCCACCGUUAGGUACCCUUGGGUUUUGUUCUCCGUCUUUGUCUCUGUUACCCUUUGAGUCUUUUCUCUAUCACAGCUUUUCCCUCCUCUCAGUGUCCCCGUCUGCAGAAACUCCCCUCAGCCUGAACUCUGUUUUUUCAUCCUGUUUCCGUUGCUUACUGCUGCUUUCUCUUGUGUUUCCGAUCGCACAUUCUCAGGAGCAAGAUGUGGCCGGGCUUAUCUGUUCUGCCAGGCCCGGGCACAGGUGGCACCUGUGGAUGGGCCGCCCGCGGGUCGGACGGCCGCCUCCUAGUCUGACUAGUGCCGAUGGGAGUGCGGAGUCGUAAGGUGUCAGUUGUGUCUCUCUGGGAGCGUGACUGCCUGGCAGGGGCUCUGGCAUAGACAUUUGUCACACCUGACGGCUGGUGCGCAGUCUCCUCUCCACAUGUACAAAGAGUGGGGCACGUGCCCUCAGACACCUCAGACACGAGAUACGCUCCUAUCUGCGUCUCAGUCCUGAUUCUCUGCAAGAGGGUGUUCCUGCCGCGAACGUGGGGCCAUCCGAGAGGGACCUCCUCCCGGAGGAGGGAAACCUGAUGGUGAAGAAACUCCACGGGUGGUUUUUGUUUCCUAUGUCUGCCCCUUCCUGCCCCCUCCAAAUAACCUCUUAAUUAACAUUUAGCACAGAGAUUCUUUUCUAAGUGCUUUCUGGUUCUGACACUUGAUCUAACCAGCUUUCCAAAAUUUUUUCAAAUCCUUAUUUGGAUCGAAAGAGUAUUUUUCUAGUUUAAAGUAAAUAAAUAGGCUUACAGAACCCAGGCAUGUAUUAGAAAUGCUGUUGAAAACCCAAGCAUGUUCUGAGAAGGUGAUACAGCAUCACCUUCUAUAUCGUCCUCCCGGGACCCAAUUCUUGCUUGAGAAGAAGAUGGAGCCUCCUGUCUUUACCUUUGUCACCAAAGUUUGCUUCAAGGGUCGGGACCAUGUUGUUAACCCUUGUUAUUUUCCUGUUUUGUACCUCUCUCUGUGUCCUUCCCACAGGGAUAUCGUACAUUUACCCGGUCAAGAGUUAGGACAUACUCCUGGCAACGUACUUUCUAUAAAAAAAAAUUCCAAGGGGAUGUAAUUCCUUUGAAUCGUUUAGCCUAGAGUUCAGAUAAAGAUGGGAGAGAUGUCUUUAAGUGGGUCAGAUAAUUUGAAAUUCAUGUUCUGUUCUUUGAAGAGUCUCAAGGCAUUUUUGCUUUCAUUUCUGUUCUAUAGCCAUUCUUCAUACCGGUUCAUAACUAUUGCUGUCCUAGAACUUCUGAAAUGAAGUGUUCAUUCUAAUUCACCUUUUCAAAAAUUCUAAAUAAAUUGGGGUGCCUGGGUGGCUCAGUUGGUUAAGCCUCCGACCAUUGAUCUGUGCUCAGGUCAUGAUCUCAUAGUUUGUGGGAUCGAGCCCCGAGUGGGGCUUUGUGCUGACGGUGCAGAGCCUGCUUGGGAUUCUCUCUCUCUCCCUCUGUCUCUGCCCCUCCUCCAUGCUCUCUCUUGCUCGCUCUCUCAGAAUGAUAAACUUUAAAAAGAAAAUUCUAAAUAAACUUACACGUUUCACAUUUGUGUGUAUUAUAGAAAAUUCUAUACAUUAUGAAACACCCGAAUGAAAUAAUCACUCCAGUUUUACCAUGUCAUGUUUUCAAAUUUUACGUCUAAUCCAGCCGUAAUCGUGUGUGUGUGCAUGUGUGCAUAUAUGCACAUGCAGGCUGUGAGGUCUCUAACUAAAUUUCCCCCCCAAAUAAUGAACUACUUACUACAGGACCAGUCAGAUGUGAUUAUCACCGUAUUACUGGUUCUUGAUGUGGUGUUGGUGCGGACACCUCUACGUGAGCAAGGCCAUCCGGGUAGGCCCAUUAAGGGCUAGAGAGUGAAUUGUACCCACCCGUGAAUUACCCCGUAACCUCCAGGCGGGGACGGAUGCCAUUCAGCCGCAGCAACUGAUGCUCUGUGGGAAUCUUUUUCAAGAAAAGGUGGCAUUGAGAUUUUGGUAAAAUCUUCCAAUUUUUAAACUACUGGCAACUUAAAAUUCUUUUAAACACCAUGUAGAACAAAUUGUAGCGGACUUUAAUUCUUAGGCUUUCUGUUUGUAAUGUGAGGCAUACGCUAGCUAACAACCUGGUUCGGUGGGACUUUCCGGAUCCAGCCAGGAGGCAGCCACGUGUGGCUCGGAGGCCAAGAAUAGGCAGGGCGUUGUGCGGGCUCACCUGCUCUUAAUCUCCAGAGACCAGGCCAGGGGAGGGGACUCGUGCCACCCACAUUCACAUGAGGCCAGCAUGCACCAGAAGGUUCUUCUCACUCAGACGCAGUAGCUUCCCUUUCCUUCCGGAAAUGUGAACAUUAACCCGCGUCCCGAUGGUUGUCCUAGUUGUGGGACUGAGGCUGGGAGGGACGGGCUCCGUUGUCCCUUGUUUGACUGCAGGUCAAACGUUUUCCUCUUAAGAUAACACUUUUCUUUGUGAAGCAUUCCGUUGGUGACAGGCGUAAGAAAAUGGGAUCCUGGGCCGGGAGCCUCAGAUACGGGAUUUUGUGUGAUUGUCACAGUGGCUCUGGAGACGCGUACUACCCUCAUUUUACAUACGUACCGAGUGGAGUUCGUGGAGUUUCAGGAACUUUCCCGGGGAGAGAGUGGCUAGCAUGGGGCAGUGGUCCUGGGAACCACAUGCUUACACCCCAGCUCGCUCAGCUGGGCCCGGGUCUGGAGGAGGCGGGUCAGUGCAGACCGUGGCCGGCGGCUCCCGUCCACGAGGGAUCGCGGGGGCUACGUACAGAUGUCUGGGGCCAGCGUCAACCACGUGCCCACUGCGCUCGGUCACUGCCCUCGAUGGAGGCCUCUCCAGCGUCUCUUCCGCACGUUUCUGUGGCUUUACCGCCCUCUGUCAGCCUCCCUCCGCUCCUCUCCUUCCCGAAACUUACACUCUGCAGACGCUCCAAGGGAAACCGGCAUCCCUGCCUCCUUGCCGUCUUGUCGUUGCCAUUCUCUCUGCCGCCUCCAGGCUGUUUUCCCAGGACACUGCUCUGCCUGUCCUUCUUUCUGGUGAACGCAUCUCCUUCCUCCCGCAUCUGUCUCUGGGGUGAGACGCGGGGUUGCCAUUCUCUUCGUUCCCUGGUCCUAGUUCAAAGCUUAAUUCUUCCAGCCUUGUUUUAACACCCCAUCUCUUUUGAGACUCAUCCCGUCUAACUGCUCUCGUCUUUCUUGUCCUAGUCGGCUCCUGAUGACGGUGCCUGCUUGUUAGUGACUUUGGGGCCUGGCUCAUAAUGUCCCUUUUUACCCAAAUCUGCCAAGUUCACCUUCACCGUGCCCGACAGUGGCGUCUCCGGCAGCGUGGGCUCCUGCUUCUCCACCCGCUCGCUGUCGGGGCUCCUUUCUGGAUUGGAGCCUUGCCUGGAACUGCCCAUGGUGACGUUUCAGGAUCGAAGGCUCCCUUGCCCCCAGUCCUGAUUCUCUCCCGCUCUCACCUGUGUGGUCAAGCACCCAUUGUCUGACUUGAUGAUGUUCACGAGUGCCCUUCAUUCACUCCCGGCCUCUGACAGCCCGGAUUUGUCAUUCUGCCAUCAGUCUCUCCAAGGUCCUCGGUGUCUUUGCUCCCUCGGCCUUCAGUCUUAUUUCUCCUGGCAAAACUCUGAUCCUUGGCACAGCCAGCUCUACACCUUUUCCUCCCAUCCCGGCUGGGGUCCCGGCCGGUCCGCGGGGCUGUGGCACUUCCCUCUCUCCUCUGCCGGGUCUCGUGCGUUCUCUCCAGCGGGCCAUUUGAACCUCCUUCUGGACCCCCACCCACCUCCCUUCCCCUCCCUCAACCUCAGCUGGCAUCCUUACCUGCUGGGUCCCCCAAAUGGAAAAGAUUCAGCUGCUUGCCAGCUGAAAUUUGCCACACCUCAAAACGUAAUGGUAGUAGUUUGGUUUUUUUUUUUUUUAAUGUUUGUUUAUUUUUGAGAGAGAGAGAGAGACAGACAGACAGACAGACAGACACAGAAUCCGAAGCAGGCUCCAGGCUCUGAGCUAUCAGCACGGAACCUGACGUGGGGCUUGAACCCACAGACCAUGAGAUCAUGACCUGAGCCGUAGUUGGACGCUCAACCGACUGAGCCACCCAGGCGCCCCAAAAUGUAACGGUAUUAGUAUCUUUGCUGACUCUUCUCCUGUUACCACGAAAGGGCCGUGCUCUGGACUUGUGUCCUAUGGAAUGUCUUCUCUCCUGUAACUUCAUCCUCUCUGCUUCUAAGGAUGCUCAAGGCUGCCUCAUCUUUAGAAAGAUGACGUUCAUACACCCUUCUAGCCCCAUGUCCCCUGUGCUGUCCUGGUCAAAGGUGUGCUGCUUUCACUCAACUUCUUGACCCUGGGACCCGCACCUUAUUCAUGGCACAUACGACCAGUAAGAUUGAGUAAGAGGCCAUGGUCCCUGACCUUCCCUCCAGGGUGAAGUAAACAGAUUCCAAGCAAGUUGCCAAGUUUGGAACCCUCACGUAGGUUCCGAGAAACGAACGUCGACCUUUUUCUUAUGCAAGGCUUCUUUAUCCUGGUUCCUACUCAUACAUCCUUUUGAGCGAAAAUGCCAGUGAUGGACGAAUCAAGACGGCGUGGACGUGUCGUUCCUAGAUUUACUCCCCACGCAGCAGGGUUUCAAAGGCGGAGAAGCUCUCCGUGAUGUCAGUUCAGGAUGUGGCCACGGGCUGAGCUGCGGUGUCGGUGGGCACACGCAGAGCCCAGGGCCGGUGAGGUAAAGCGUAGCCAAGGGAGGCCCACGUGUGGUCUGACCUGUUUCGUGCUGGGAGGAGUCUGGAGAGGACUUCGGGAUGGGCCGUGCGGCAAGAAACCUCAUUUGUUGGCCAUUCAGGGUUGCAUGUGGAUCACUGUUUCCUCCCUCCUCCCUAAACCACCUCACGUUUGACAUUUUUGCUGGUGGGGUCAACCACCCAUGACCUCUUCCUGUAACAGCCUUCUCAUGAGCACACGCUGAGUUCUCCUGCUGGGACCUGUUCCCUGUGUCAGCAGAUGGGAGAGAAAAUGCAUCGCGUGGUUCCGUGAAAUAAGCCAUCUCGGUUGAUCUUACAUGAUUUUAUACAUUAAUUUAAGAUAUAAAAAGGGACGACUGUGGGAUCUCCUGUGGAAGCCUGUGGCUGCCGUAUAGUUGGGGUAAAUUCACGUCCGUGAGUGUUCCGUGUUCUAGGCGAUGUCCUCAGAAACACGGUCUCAUGGCCCCGGUUCUGCCUGUAUUCCCGACACUUCUGUUGUGGGAAGUGGCAUUCUCCCGGUGUGCUGGGGCAUAAAGACGCCUGUGUGAUGCGCACAUCAUCGUCCACGAGAGGAGUGUGUCUCUUCCUUCGUUUGAAGCACGUUUUCUCUCCUCAGCUUUCCGUGUGUGCGUUGGCGAACAUCUCCAGUGUUUUGGGGAUUGAAUGUGACCUUACGGGAAGUUUCCCUCUUCGCAGGGAUCUUUGGCAGGUGCUCGUGACAGAUGUGCAUCUUCAAAUGAAACGAUGAUCCGUGGUGCUUUAAAACUGGAGGACUCACGGGCAAGGGAGACAUUAUUUUCCCAUAACUCCCUAAUGGCAGAAAUUUUGUGGAAGGUGCCUCCCAUGAUUAACUUCAGGUCUUCCAACUUUUUCUUUUCCCCAGUUGCCUGGAACAUAAAAAAAAAAAAAAAAAAAAAAAAAAAGAUUGGUGCUCUGCUGAUUAGACCAGUGCCUGAAAUGAAGGAGCAUAUUUUGGAAGGCCUGGGAUGGAUGGUUUAAUGCUUUAGCAGGAGUCCAUCCUGUGCACAGCUUCAGGAGUGAGGGACAAAUCAGAUCAUUUAGGGGGUGCCUGGGUGGCUCAGUCGGGCAUCUGACUUCAGCUCAGGUCAUGAUACCACAUUCCAUGAGUUCGAGCCCCGCGUCGGGCUCUGUGCUGACAGCUCGGAGCCUGGGGCCUGCUUCGGAUUCCGUGUCUCCCUCUCUCUGCCCCUUUUCUGCUCAGGGAAACAAGCCAGGGAGGCACAGUGUGGCUGAAGACAGCAGACCAGUUGUGCUUACUGGCUUUCUUCCCCCUCUGAGGGACAUUGGAUUUCUUUUCCCUACUUUUGACAUUGAGUUUGAAGGUAUUUGGAAAGAGUUAAGAUGAAAAUAGUUGUUGCGAGUCAGAGACCGGCCCUGUGCUGAGCUUGGCACUCGUCAGCCAUGUGACUGAGAAGGGCGCUGGUCUUCCCCCAUCAGACACACUGGGGAGGUCGGACAGGCUUCUGUGUUACAGGGCUUCUCGAGCCUUUACUAGGGUGUAUGUGCGUGGUGAGCCUCUUCCUCACCCCUCCACCCCGCCACUGCAUUUCCCAAAGGGUUUUGAUCACGCACUCUUUUUCCCACGUAUGCAAGUGAAAACACUUGGUGUAUCCCUAGCUUUCUGUUGCUUUCUAGAUCUGGACUUGCUGUCCCUGAGUGAGUUUCAGGGGGUCUGGAUUUAGAUGCCUCAUUAGAGGAGUAUAGACAGACAGAUGGCUAGAUAGAUAGGUAUGUUUGUUUUUUCUGGGUGUUACCUCGAAGUUCUGUAACCCCAGUAAAAGGCAAGAGCCCGAGGAAGGAAGCCCGAGGUUUCUCUGGGAGUGCAUUUUUAAAUUCUGUAAAGAACCUGACAGCAGACACGGUCUCUGCAAGUUCUGGAUCCGGUCCGGGUAUUCCCGGGCGUCAAGGUGCUUACGGUUGUCCCACACUGGAGUCUGGAGUUCAUCCAAAUGAACGAGCCAGGGUUCCCCAGCUGCACAACAUAAAGGAGUCAAGACCUCCGUGUCAGACAGACCUGGGCGUGUUUCCGGCCAGCUACUCAGUGACCUUGGGUACCUCUCCUCCCUUCGGGGGCGUGCUUAUCUAGGAAAUGAAGGGUUAGGCUAGGACAAUGCAGAGAGAUUCUAGGCGUCUCACGGCUUCCGUUUCACGGGACGGGAGCUGAUAGGACCCUGGACUCCCUUGCCGCUGCUCAUUUUCCUCUGGCUUACUCUGUAGAGGGCAUGGGCUUAUCCCAGAGGGUGCUGUGAGUCCUGACAGUAAGGCCCCACUGAGGCCCGGGGGCCACUGCCCCAGGGCCCGGGGUCUUUGACAGCUUUGGUCUUCUUUGGAGCUGUCCAGGUCCUCUGUCUGCUUGGAGCCCUCCCCCGUGGGGGCAGCGGAGCCAGAAAUCCGUGUAAAGCAAUUUGCACGAGAAGACCGGGAACACGUUGCGGGUGGGGAUGUGGAAGAAGCAGCCUGCUGCUAAUCGAUGCCGGUCUCUCCCACUGAGCCCCAGUGCACCUUGGAGUCCUUAACCCGGUGCUCAGAAGUCCAGACCGGUGGAGUCUGGGCAGGAGAGAUGACCUUGGUGCCGUCCUGAGUGGGGUGGUUAAAGUAUGUGUUUGGAGUCUGCCAGGCUUAACUGCCCCACGACCAUUUGAAACUCUUUGAUCUCAGGCGGUUUACCUUGGAUUGCAUUCUACCUAGAAGUCCUUGAGAAGGACGCUUAGCUCUUCUGUGCCCGAGUUUCCCGCUCUGUGAAAUCGGGCUCGUGGCAGCGACAACCUCAAAGGGCGGUGGGCCGGUAAACGCAGGACAGUGUGUGUAGAAUGCUUGGGGCGGAGCCAGGCCCUGAGAGUCCAAGGACAUGGGCCCUGGCUGUGCCCCUUGUGGUGGUGGUCACUCUUAGCCCCGUCCCCUGGGGCGCAAGGCACGUCGUCAGGGUGUUCCAGCUGGAUGGGGGGGAAACGGGUCUAAAUGGCCUUCCAGGUGUAAGUCCGGCCCUUGGGUUCCAGAGUGGUUCUGGAGCCCGUGGUUUCUUUAAUUGUGAUCUGGCGUGACAUGUCUGUGCCCUGGGGUGACUCAUCAUCCUGGCCUGUCUGGAACUGACUUAGGGGUGUUAAUGGGAUGACUUGGGGUUUGAUAGAACAGGGACUUUCAGGGCUUGGGACAAAUCGCAUGGUCAUCACCCUCCUAAAAGCUGAAUGGUCUUCUUCCUCGUGAGGCCUCAAGGGGGUGAUCCGCGUGUGCACGCGGCACGUAGCGCACCACUCGACGCGUAGUGACUCCCCGGAUUUGCGUGUCUAAGUCUCAGAUUCACACCCUGCUCUCUGAGAGCUUGUAGGGAAGCAGUGGCCACGUGCUUUGUGUCUUUUUGGGUCGGCAUUUCCUGUUUGGGCCCCUCUUGACCAGCUUUUACACCCAGGCGUUGUUUUCUGCCGGUCUCCACUUCCAACCUGUAGAGCGAAUGUGGUAAUGUUCACCUCACGGGGCCCUGCUGAGGGUUCGGUAACGUGGGAUUGCGCGUCCUGAGGCACGUCUAGCACAGUGCCUGGCUCACAGAAGCCCUUAGUAAGUGGCCCCUUCUAGAAGAACGAAGUCCGGUAACGUUAGGGAGAGAUGCCCCUUGGGGUCGGAGGUCCGUCGGUGGGAACCCCCACGUCGGGGCGACGUUGGUGGGUCGACCUGUUUGGCUUCUUUAGCUCUAUUGUGUCUCCCGGCCCCUUUCUCAUUGUGAAUGCCUGGGAGGGAGCGCUGUGUGCCCGCACGACGGAAAAUGUGCGUUUUCUGGCUCCGUUGUAGGUGGUGAGGACUACCUGAUUAACCUCAUAGACUCUCCAGGACACGUGGACUUCUCCUCCGAGGUGUCCACGGCCGUGCGCGUGUGUGACGGCUGCAUCAUCGUGGUCGAUGCUGUGGAAGGAGUCUGCCCACAGGUAGGAGGUCCUGAUGUGGGAGUCUGUCACUGGGUGAGGAGGGCGGNNNNNNNNNNNNNNNNNNNNNNNNNNNNNNNNNNNNNNNNNNNNNNNNNNNNNNNNNNNNNNNNNNNNNNNNNNNNNNNNNNNNNNNNNNNNNNNNNNNNNNNNNNNNNNNNNNNNNNNNNNNNNNNNNNNNNNNNNNNNNNNNNNNNNNNNNNNNNNNNNNNNNNNNNNNNNNNNNNNNNNNNNNNNNNNNNNNNNNNNNNNNNNNNNNNNNNNNNNNNNNNNNNNNNNNNNNNNNNNNNNNNNNNNNNNNNNNNNNNNNNNNNNNNNNNNNNNNNNNNNNNNNNNNNNNNNNNNNNNNNNNNNNNNNNNNNNNNNNNNNNNNNNNNNNNNNNNNNNNNNNNNNNNNNNNNNNNNNNNNNNNNNNNNNNNNNNNNNNNNNNNNNNNNNNNNNNNNNNNNNNNNNNNNNNNNNNNNNNNNNNNNNNNNNNNNNNNNNNNNNNNNNNNNNNNNNNNNNNNNNNNNNNNNNNNNNNNNNNNNNNNNNNNNNNNNNNNNNNNNNNNNNNNNNNNNNNNNNNNNNNNNNNNNNNNNNNNNNNNNNNNNNNNNNNNNNNNNNNNNNNNNNNNNNNNNNNNNNNNNNNNNNNNNNNNNNNNNNNNNNNNNNNNNNNNNNNNNNNNNNNNNNNNNNNNNNNNNNNNNNNNNNNNNNNNNNNNNNNNNNNNNNNNNNNNNNNNNNNNNNNNNNNNNNNNNNNNNNNNNNNNNNNNNNNNNNNNNNUCUGUCUCUGUCUGUCACAAAAAUAAAUAAAACAUUAAAAAAAAUUAAAAAAAAAUUUUUUUUAAGUUUAUUAUUUUUGAGACAGUGUGCAAGCAGGGGAGGGGCGGAGAGAGGGAGACACAGAAUCCAAGGAGGCUCCAGGCUCUGAGCUGUCAGCACAGAGCCCAACACGGGGCUCAAACUCACAGACUGUUAGAUCGUGACCUGAGCCCAAGUCAGACGCUUAACCAACUGAGCCAUCCAGGCACCCCAAUAUUUUUAAAAAAGGAUAAUAAAAGGUUUAAAUUACUCAGAUGGAGGAGAUUUGAUAAUUGCAAGAAGUUGUGCCGUAAUUGUCCUGUUGCUUCCCCUCCGAGCCCUGAGGGCUCAGGUCCCCCGACUUGCGAGACAGAGCCUUCAUCUCUGUCCUGAAAGGAUAGUGGUGUUAAUGCACCUGACUUCAGAAUAGCAGAGCAGCGGUUUGCUCUGAGAGGGGAUUGUGGGCAGGGAGGUGUGCGUGGGCCUUCUGGGGGAGGGCGCUGUUUUUGGGGGCCUGUGUGUUGGCAACAUGAGCAUUUGUUUUCUAGUUGUUCAGAAAAGUGUGUGUGUGUGUGUGUGCGUGUGUGUGUAUAAUUCCAACAAACUCUGCUAUUUUCUGCACAACUUACCCUUCUUAAAUAACUUGUCAGUUCCGCAAAGGCAAAGACCGUUUCUUGUCUGUAGCUCUUUCCCUCUGUGUCACGGACAUAGAGUCCGUGCUACGUGCUUAGUGAGCGCACCUGUGUGAACGGUGUUGUCUGAGUUGUGAUAAAGGAGUAUGCAAAUGAGCUGAUUGUUAAUCAGGGUCUUUUAAGGUGCUUUAAUUAUUUCGAAUCGUGAGUUUCACAUUUUCUUUUCUGUUUUCACCAGACACAAGCUGUUCUGCGACAAGCCUGGCUUGAGAACAUCCGUCCGGUUUUAGUGAUUAAUAAGAUAGAUCGCCUGAUAGUGGAGCUGAAAUUCACCCCCCAGGAGGCCUAUUCUCACCUCAAGAAUAUUCUAGAACAGGUAUUUCA
This 15660-nucleotide long non-coding RNA is filed under the name Lynx pardinus (Iberian lynx). The record is from RNAcentral. Lineage: Eukaryota; Metazoa; Chordata; Mammalia; Carnivora; Felidae.